UAGCNAAUNAAGGCGGACGGCUCUUNCCACGCGUANUCAACCUACCCUAUGGACGGGAAUAACCUCGGGAAACUGAGUAUAAUGCCCGAUAGAACACUAUACCUGGAAUGGUUUGUGUUCCAAAUGAUUUAUCGCCAUAGGAUGGGACUGCGGCCUAUCAGGUUGUUGGUGAGGUAAUGGCCCACCAAGACUAUUACAGGUACGGGCUCUGAGAGGAGUGGCCCGGAGAUGGGUACUGAGACACGGACCCAGGCCCUAUGGGGCGCAGCAGGCNAGAAAACUUUGCAAUGUGCGAAAGCACGACAAGGUUAAUCCGAGUGGUUUCUGCUAAAGGAACCUUUUGUUAGUCCUAGAAACACUGAUGAAUANGGGGUGGGCAAGUUCUGGANGUCAGCCGCCGCGGUUAAACCAGCCACCUCANGUGGUCAGGAUGAUUAUUGGGCCCUAAANGCAUCCGUAACCC
This 463-nucleotide ribosomal RNA is filed under the name uncultured archaeon. RNAcentral describes it as "bacterial SSU rRNA". It matches the Rfam family "Archaeal small subunit ribosomal RNA", at positions 69 to 527 of the family's 1478-position model. The record is from RNAcentral.